RNAcentral lists this ribosomal RNA (463 nucleotides) under uncultured bacterium. RNAcentral describes it as "partial 16S ribosomal RNA". It matches the Rfam family "Bacterial small subunit ribosomal RNA", at positions 28 to 507 of the family's 1533-position model. The record is from RNAcentral.
GACGAACGCUGGCGGCGUGCUUAACACAUGCAAGUCGAGCGGUAAGGCCCUUCGGGGUACACGAGCGGUGAACGGGUGAGUAACACGUGAGUAAUCUGCCCAUCACUUCGGGAUAACUCCGGGAAACCGGUGCUAAUACCGAAUAUGACCACUUCAGGCAUCUGAUGGUGGUGGAAAGUUCCGGCGGUGAUGGAUGAGCUCGCGGCCUAUCAGCUUGUUGGUGGGGUAGUGGCCUACCAAGGCUUCGACGGGUAGCCGGCCUGAGAGGGUGACCGGCCACACUGGGACUGAGACACGGCCCAGACUCCUACGGGAGGCAGCAGUGGGGAAUAUUGGACAAUGGGCGAAAGCCUGAUCCAGCAACGCCGCGUGAGGGAUGACGGCCUUCGGGUUGUAAACCUCUUUCAGCAGGGACGAAGCGCAAGUGACGGUACCUGCAGAAGAAGCACCGGCCAACUACGUG